GGGCGUGUAGCUCAGUUGGUAGAGCGUGUCAUUAGCACCUACUAUUUGACAAGGUCUUUGGUUCAAUUCCUAACUCGUCCA
This 81-nucleotide transfer RNA is filed under the name Apiotrichum porosum. Its description in RNAcentral is "Trichosporon porosum tRNA". It matches the Rfam family "tRNA". From Rfam's summary of the family: Transfer RNA (tRNA) molecules are approximately 80 nucleotides in length. Their secondary structure includes four short double-helical elements and three loops (D, anti-codon, and T loops). The record is from Rfam by way of RNAcentral. Lineage: Eukaryota; Fungi; Basidiomycota; Tremellomycetes; Trichosporonales; Trichosporonaceae.